ACGGAAGGCAGCAGUGGGGAAUAUUGGGCAAUGGGCGAAAGCCUGACCCAGCGACGCCGCGUGAAGGAAGAAGGUCUUCGGAUUGUAAACUUCUUUUAUAUGGGACGAAACAAAUGACGGUACCAUAUGAAUAAGCCACGGCUAACUACGUGCCGGCAGCCGCGGUAAUACGUAGGUGGCAAGCGUUAUCCGGAUUUACUGGGUGUAAAGGGCGUGUAGGCGGCUCUGCAAGUCAGAAGUGAAAUUCCCGGGCUCAACCUGGGCGCUGCUUCUGAAACUGCAGAACUUGAGUACUGGAGGGGAAAGCGGAAUUCCUAGUGUAGCGGUAAAAUGCGCAGAUAUUAGGAGGAACACCGGUGGCGAAGGCGGCUUUCUGGACAGUAACUGACGCUGAGGCGCGAAAGCGUGGGGAGCAAACAGGAUUAGAUACCCUGGUA
Molecule: ribosomal RNA, 437 nt
Filed under: uncultured Saccharofermentans sp.
Lineage: Bacteria; Bacillati; Bacillota; Clostridia; Eubacteriales; Oscillospiraceae
Description: partial 16S ribosomal RNA
Rfam family: Bacterial small subunit ribosomal RNA
Source: RNAcentral